CAAAGAAUAGUUUAAAUCAGAAUCUUAGCUUUGGGAGUUAAGGGUAGGAGUUAAAAUCUCUUUUCUUUGA
Molecule: transfer RNA, 70 nt
Filed under: Tetragonurus cuvieri
Lineage: Eukaryota; Metazoa; Chordata; Actinopteri; Scombriformes; Tetragonuridae
Description: tRNA-Pro
Rfam family: tRNA
About the family: Transfer RNA (tRNA) molecules are approximately 80 nucleotides in length. Their secondary structure includes four short double-helical elements and three loops (D, anti-codon, and T loops). Further hydrogen bonds mediate the characteristic L-shaped molecular structure. tRNAs have two regions of fundamental functional importance: the anti-codon, which is responsible for specific mRNA codon recognition, and the 3' end, to which the tRNAs corresponding amino acid is attached (by aminoacyl-tRNA synthetases). tRNAs cope with the degeneracy of the genetic code in two manners: having more than one tRNA (with a specific anti-codon) for a particular amino acid; and 'wobble' base-pairing, i.e. permitting non-standard base-pairing at the 3rd anti-codon position.
Source: RNAcentral